This 492-nucleotide ribosomal RNA is filed under the name uncultured bacterium. RNAcentral's name for it is "partial 16S ribosomal RNA". It matches the Rfam family "Bacterial small subunit ribosomal RNA", at positions 29 to 507 of the family's 1533-position model. The record is from RNAcentral.
AGUGAACGCUGGCGGUAGGCCUAACACAUGCAAGUCGAACGGCAGCACAGUAAGAGCUUGCUCUUACGGGUGGCGAGUGGCGGACGGGUGAGGAAUACAUCGGAAUCUACUUUUUCGUGGGGGAUAACGGAGGGAAACUUACGCUAAUACCGCAUACGACCUACGGGUGAAAGCAGUGGAUCUUCGGACCUUGCGCGAUUGAAUGAGCCGAUGUCGGAUUAGCUAGUUGGCGGGGUAAAGGCCCACCAAGGCGACGAUCCGUAGCUGGUCUGAGAGGAGGGUCAGCCACACUUGAACUGGAAACAGGGCCCGGCUCCUAAGGGAGGCAACAGUGGGGAAUAUUGGAGAAUGGGGGGAAAGCUGGACCAACCAUCGCGCGGGGGUGGAGGAGGGUCUCGGGUUGUAAAGCCCUUUUGUUGGGAAAGAAACGAAGGAGGAUGAUACCAUGCUGUUCUGAAGGUACCCAAAGCAGAAGCACCGGCUAACUUAGUG